CAGCAGCCGCGGGAAAACGUAGGGUGCAAGCGUUAAUCGGAAUUACUGGGCGUAAAGCGUGCGCAGGCGGUUCGUUAAGACAGAUGUGAAAUCCCCGGGCUUAACCUGGGAACUGCAUUUGUGACUGGCGGGCUAGAGUAUGGCAGAGGGGGGUAGAAUUCCACGUGUAGCAGUGAAAUGCGUAGAGAUGUGGAGGAAUACCGAUGGCGAAGGCAGCCCCCUGGGCCAGUACUGACGCUCAUGCACGAAAGCGUGGGGAGCAAACAGGAUUAGAUACCCGAGUAGUCCCUGUCUCUUAUAC
Molecule: ribosomal RNA, 301 nt
Filed under: uncultured bacterium
Lineage: Bacteria
Description: partial 16S ribosomal RNA
Rfam family: Bacterial small subunit ribosomal RNA
Source: RNAcentral